GCAUGGUGGACGUUCCAGAAGCACUCUGCGACUUUGGCUCCAGCGUCAACUUUAUACCCAGGGUACUCUAUGAAAAAUUCUUUACAUAUCCUUUAUUAGAAACAACCAUGUGUUUGUAGUUUGCAGAUCAGACGAUAACUUUUCCAAAAGGAAUAGUGAAGAACCUUUGUGUCCGAGUUGGUACCUUAUAUGCCCAAGCAGACUUCGUAGUGGUAGAGACCGGAAAUGAUGAGAGAGCACCCAUCAUCUUAGGGAGGCCAUUCUUGAACACCACGGGAGCUAUCAUCUAUGCUAGUGCUGCCAAGAUUAGUUUCUACGUCAAAGGGAAGAAGGAGACAUUUUUCUUCAAGAACAAGACUACAUAAAUUCCAGAUCAAUCCAGACGUCAAUCAAGGAAGAGGACCAACAGGAGGAACAGGAACAAGCAAGUAUGGACCGAAUCAGCUAAGAUGGUCACUGUAGUUCAUGGAGGCCAAGAUCACCAACUUAAGUCACCGCUUUUGACCAAGAAGGACGACCCAGGAAUGCCAAGCUUCUACUGCUCCAUAAAUGGAUACAACUUCUACAAGGCAACUUGUGACACCGGAUCGGGCGUCAACAUAAUGGCCGCAGUCACCUAUCAGCUCUUGUUUGGAACCAUGCCCCUAAGACCAACAUACAUUCAACUCCAGAUGGCAGAUCAGACAUUUCGAGAAGUUAAAGGAACAGUAACUGAUGUCCCAGUCAAAAUAGACGAUCACUUUGUCUACACAGACUUUCAAGUUAUUAACAUGGGAGAAGAUGAGUACGAUCCACCCAUCAUCCUUGGAAGACCGUUCCUCAGCACCGUUAAAGCAAUUAUCUACAUUGGAACUGGAGAAGUCCAUAUGCACUUCCCCUCAGAGAAGGUACGCCGUAAUUUUACUGACCCUAACUAUAUCGUUGAAGAAUCUAAGCAGGUAAGGAAACGACGCAACCGCAACCAGAGGAGGCAGAUCAUCAAGGACGGAUGGGCAGACUACGAAGGAGAAGUUAUAAGGUCAGAAAACGUAGAGUUUAAACAGAAUUAUCUAGAGGAGACCGAAGCACCAAGUCAGGUGUGGAAAAAUGAAGAUAACUAUACAUGAAGAGGAGGCGCCACCGGAAGUACCGACUACGCCACCCAACGAACCUCAGGACGAUUGAAAAAAUGGAGAGUCCUGUUCGGAGGACUUAAAAACACCGAACGCCUUGCCGAGAGGUAAACUUGGUAGUAAUCCUUUCUCUUUUAAUUAUUUCAAAUAGUUUACUUAGUUAAUCAUGCUCGUACUAUCUUAAAAAGAAAAUAAAAAUACGAAAAACAGUAAGCCCCAUGUGAGUAUGCGAGUGGCAUAAAACCCAUAAGUACAUUCACUGUGGUGGCAUAAAAAUAAAAUAAAAAUUUCUUUUCUGCUUUAUAAAAUAAAAAUAUAAAAAUAGGGAGUAAUAAUUAUUAAGGAGUCUCAAGAUAAUAAAGGCUAGAUAUUUAUGCUAACACUUAAUCAGUUCCACAAGCUUUGUUGUCUAUUUGAGCCCCACAGAAUUUAAGAAUCAAGAAGACUAGCAGACGGAGGACAUUCUAAUCGCUGUCAGAAUGCUCCUGACUUUCAAAUACACCUCUGCCACCUGCUAGCUACAUCAAGAGAAAUUACGUCAAAAUUCAGCUUGGGGGAGAGCACCCCCAUUUAUCUCGAUAAGUAUUUCUUUCUAUCUAUCUUUAUACUUAUAUUAUAUUAGAAUAUUAAAAUACAUAAACUAUAAAAAACCAAAUAAAGAUUUUAAGCUUAUAUAUAUAUCUUUUGCUUAGUGUGUUUAAUAAAUAAAUAAAGUAGCGAUGCUAAUCUGUAUCUAAAUAAAACUUAAGCAUGGAAAUGAUGAAUAGUUGCUCUGCCUAAUUUGCACAUUUUAAGUUCUCUCUCAAGUUUAGAUAUAACUGUUAUAAUUUAAAGCUUGCUCUAGACCUAAACUUGUGGGAUGAAAACUUGAUCUGAAGUCUAAGUUGUUAACGGAUACGAUAUGAGAAGGUUGAGCUGCUGUUUAUCUGUUCCUAGAGAUGCUAGAAUUCUGGAGAAUUUUAUCUUUAAAAAUCUUUUAAAAUGUUGCAUGAUGAGUUCCUGUAUGAUGAGAGUUUAAAUUCCUACCACAGCCAUAUUUACAUGCUUGCUAGACUUUGAGCUACACAUUUACUAUUUACUGCUUAUGAGCAUUGAGUGUGGUCAAGCUGUGUAGACCCUUAGGAACUUGUCAUGUGGUUAAAUCAAGAUUCACUUGCACUUUCACUCAUAUAUGCUACUUCUACUCCAGAUGUGCCAUCCACAUAUAUCCACCCAUUCCAUCUCCAGAAUCACCCAAAAAUAUUCUACUCCUAAUCCGGGAGAGAAUAGCCAAAAAUAUUUCUGUUUUCCCUUGUGAAAUAAAUGCUCAAGUUAUCUUGUUACUACCACUUGCUAUAUUAUCUCAAGAGAUGAAUGCUCUAAAAAAAAGAGAGAGAAAUACGAGGAAAUAAAAAGGAGCAAGUGCUCGGAACCUCGAAAGAAAAAAGAGAGUGAGACGAGAGGUAAAAAUGGACAAGUGUCCGACAGUAGAAUUAGGGGUACAAGAUACCCACCUAAGAGAAAAGAAAAAGAAGAGCAUCUCAUUCUCCUCAUAAAGUUUCAAAAAAAAGCAAGAAAGGUAUGUAUCCCCUCAAAAGAGCAAAGUAGAAUUAGACUUCCACCACCAUUGUUAUCACCAUCAUCACCAUACAUCAUUCAUUUGCCACACAUGCACAUCUUGGUUAAACUCAUUGGCUUGUUUCUUUGGAUCCAUGGUUUGACUAUGCAAUACAUGUCUUGUAAGUAUGUAUACUUUAUCUCCCACCUAUGAGCUCCAGAUAUUAAAGCCUUAUUAGAGUAGGGUGAGAGAGAAGGCAAUGUCACUAUGCCUUAUACCACAAAUACCACAUAUCUUGAGAGAAGGCAUAUACCAUUACUGCCUUGGUAAGGAUCCAGAAAUACCACAAAAGAGAGAUAUGAAAGAAUCAUACAAGGAAUUUCUGAGUUUUAUUUGAAAAUCUGCAAAAAACCCCAGAGCUAUAGCUGAUCAAGAAUAAGAGACAUGGCACUUGGCUAGACUGUUCUAUCUUUUAACCACUCAAGACAGAAGUGACGGUUACAAGUCCCAUGGUGAAGGUAAAGUAAGUAAGUUUUAAGUCUUGAUAGUUUACUCUAACUCAGAGAUGAGAUCUUAUUUAAAAGCAUGUGUACCGUCAAAUUUUUUUAAAAAAAAUAUAUAUUGCAACAACUUAUGAUCCAUAGCUGAGUCUAUCCUUGCUCACGAGCAAGAGGUAAGCUUGGGGGAGUUUGUUGACGGUCCUUAAGUAUCAAAUUUAAUUAUCAAAUAAAUAAAGAAAAGGAUCCAAAUGAAAUCAACAUCUAGACUUAGGGUUUUAUGUGACAGAAUUCCACGAGUUUUGGUGUUUAUCUAUUUCUGCAGGGGGUUAUCAGGAAAUACGGAAGAAAGGCCCACACGUCGGGAUUACGUAAAGAUAUUAACGAGCCGCGCAAUUAUCUUACAUCUAGAAGACUCCAGAAGCCACGAGACCGAAGCGGAGGCGAAACGGGGCCAGAGGCAGGGCGCCCGCCCUGAUCCCCUGGGCGCCCGCCCCCUCUAGGAGUCCAAUCAGGACUCUGCUUUGCGGGAGAUUUCCACCGACCUAAAGGAUGAAUCUAAACCAUACAAUCUAUGUCAGUUUGAUCCAACGGCCCAUAUUCACUUGAAGGGACUAUAAAACCAGACACCCUGGCCCCUGGAGGAGAGAGCCUCUCAACCCUAAUUCAUUGUUCCAUCAAGGGAGAAGAAGCCUCUGAUCAAGAUUAGAGCCACCACAUCAAUUAGAUAUCUAGAUUAGCAUAGCUACAUAGGAUUAGAACUAGAAGGAGUCAAUCUUCGAUUGGUUUCCGGAUCUGUCAGGAGGAUUCUUGGUAAUUCUCUAAUUGUGCUUCUAAUUGCUUUCUAAUUAUCUUUGUUCUUCAAUAUUAUGAAUAUGACUUUGUUCUACUUCAAUAUAUUGCUUAUGACUUUGCUCUACUUGCUUAUAUUCAAGAUUAUAUUGUUCUUAGUUUAUCAUAGUUAUGUACUUAGCUUAGUUAGAUUCGAUCUAUAUACAUGCUUAGGAUCGUAUAGCGUUUAUCCAUCGGAUCCAUGGGUAAAUGAUAGAUAUUGUGUAGGUGUGGCGCUUAUACCGUAUUUAUCUGCGAUUGUACCCAAUAUGCCAGAACGUGGGGUAGUUCGUGAUAGUGACAGCUUCAUUGAUUCUUAUAUAGUCCCCCUCUCGUGUAUUGGGCUGGCAGAGCAACAUUAUUACAGGGGAGUGAUUGCUAUGUUUCUCAUAUUCCUUGCUAAUAUCACUAUGCAUGGGCGUAGUCUUGUCUCGCAAUGAUUGCUAAGUAUCCUUGCACUAAUUAUGAUAUGCUAGACUAUAUAGUUGAGAAUAACUUAGGGAAUAUUCUUGUAGUUCGUUCUAAUACCAUGCUAAUGACUUUCUAGAGUAUCUAAUUGAGGUGCUUAUCAUAUUUAUUAUGUGGCUAGAUCAGAUUAGUUAUCCUUGUCACUAUUAUUAUUUCAUAUAUCUUUUAUGUGACACUUAUCCCUGUAUGAUGAGUUAGAUAUAAUGUUCUCAAUUAUACAUGCAAUGAUAGAUGCUCAAUCUCAUAUUCUAUUCUGUAAUCAAUAUUGAUGAUUGCUAAUCCCUUCCAAGUGGUAAAAAUAUAAAUAACGAUACCUGGAAUACUUUCCAGCUAAAAUGCUGCAUCAGUAUUAAUCUGUGCGCUUGCAGAUCCCAUUCAUUAUUUAUUUAGAAGAGCAAUUGCAUAUUUCAAUACCGCGUCUCUUAUAUCAUGCUGGGGAUGACAACUUGGCUUAAGUGGUGUGAGGGAUAGGUUUGGCAUUUUUGGCACCGUCUACUUUUGGUAAUGAUGUUAAGAAUACCCAACAAGCAUUUUUGGCGCCGUUGCCGGGGAAGAUUGAUUACUAAUCAGGAAUGGAAUAAAAGAUUUUGAGUUAUCAUUCGCAUCACUAAUAUGAUUGAGCUUAUCUAUUCUCUCAUAUAGUUUUACCCCGAUAUUUUCCUAUUUUAUCUUAUGUAGGGGAAUGUAUGAAUAGAAGACAUCUUCCAGGAAAUUUUGUUGACAAUCCCGAAGCAUUAUUCAAGAAGACGAGAGCCAAGCUAAAGAAAUCAUCAACACUUCAGGAAGAAGCUUCAUCCAAUCAAGAAGAUCACCGGAACUUGUCUUCAGAGUUUGAAGCCAUGGCGAACAAAACAAUCCGCGAGUUCUCAGCUCCCACUACGGACAACAUCAGCACUGGACCUGCUGCAGAGAUCGAUGGCAACUUUGAGCUCAAGCCUGGACUUAUCAACAUGGUGCAAUCCAACCAGUUCUGUGGGAAGGCACACGAAGAUGCUAGUGCUCGUUUACAACACUUCCUGGAGAUUUGCAACACAUUCACCAUAUCAGGAGUUUCCAAAGAUGCUAUACUACUUCGCCUCUUCCCAUUCUCACUGUUAGGAAGAGCGAAGCAGUGGUUUUACGCUACAAAGGAGAAGAAUACUACGUGGGCACUCUGCUCAACAAACUUCCUGGCAAAGUUCUUUCCCAUGGGCAAGACCAAUGCUCUCCGUGGGAAGAUUACAAGUUUUCAGCAACAAAAUGAUGAAUCUGUUCCAGAAGCAUGGGAGCGCUUUCAAGACUACAUCCUAGAAUGUCCCCAUCAUGGAAUGGAGAGUUGGCUAUUGAUGUAGACAUUUUAUCAUGGGCUCGGCAACAGUGCCCGAGAAACCAUGGAUGCUGCGGCUGGAGGAGCAUUCCUAUCACUUACAAUACCACAAGCCACAGCUCUUGUGGAGAAGAUGGCGUCCAACCAAAGCUGGAAUGAAGAGAGGACCCAGACACGCAAGAGAGGUGGAGGUAUGCAUCAGCUGAAGGAGGUAGACAUGCUGUCUGCAAAGCUAGACCUGCUCAUAAAGAAGCUCGAUGAUAGAGCUGGAGAUAAGAAGGAAGUUAUGCACAUCUACGACUCUCACAUGACUUGUGAGGAGUGUGGAGACACUGGACACUCAGGCAAUCACUGCCCUGAGAUGCUUGAGGAUGUGAACUACAUCAACAACAACAACUACAACCGUCCUCAACAAAAUCAAGGUUGGAAUCAACAGAGGCCUAACUACUCAGGUAAUUAUCAUGGUAACAAUUCUUACAACAAUAAUAAUAAUUUUUCACCACUGAGAGAGUUAGUGUCUAAUCAAGGAAAGCUAAUGGAUAACCUAUCUAAGAAAUUGGCAUCUAAUGAUAAAAUGCUAGAAAAUAUAAAUAAUAGAAUGGAUAAUUUCUCUACUGCCAUCAAGAAUCAAAUUAGCUUUAAUAAAAUGAUUGAAUCUCAGUUAAAUCAAAUAGCUGUUGCUGUUCCUACUACUAACCUCGGUAUACCAUCACAACCGGAAGGAUUAGAAUCUGCAAAUCUUGUAGACACGUUUGAUGCAGGUAAUUGGAGUAACCCCGUCACUGAAUUCUCUACUGACCUUCUGCCGGUCAAGAGAGGCGAUCCAGGACGCCCCGUCAUCCCGAUCUCUAUCGGCAUGGUGGACGUUCCAGAAGCAAUCUGCGACUUUGGCUCCAGCGUCAACAUUAUACCCAGGGUACUCUAUGAAAAAUUCUUUACAUAUCCUUUAUUAGAAACAACCAUGUGUUUGCAGUUUGCAGAUCAGACGAUAACUUUUCCAAAAGGAAUAGUGAAGACCCUUUGUGUCCGAGUUGGUACCUUAUAUGCCCCAGCAGACUUCGUAGUGGUAGAGACCGGAAAUGAUGAGAGAGCACCCAUCAUCUUAGGGAGGCCAUUCUUGAACACCACGGGAGCUAUCAUCUACGCUAGUGCUGCCAAGAUCAGUUUCUACGUCAAAGGGAAGAAGGAGACAUUUUUCUUCAAGAACAAGACUACACAAAUUCCAGAUCAAUGCAGACGUCAAUCAAGGAAGAGGACCAACAGGAGGAACAGGAACAAGCAAGUAUGGACCGAAUCAGCUAAGAUGGUCAUUGUAGUUCAUGGAGGCCAAGAUCACCAACUUAAGUCACCGCUUUUGACCAAGAAGGACGACCCAGGAAUGCCAAGCAUCUACUGCUCCAUAAAUGGAUACAACUUCUACAAGGCAACUUGUGACACCGGAUCGGGCGUCAACAUAAUGGCUGCAGUCACCUAUCAGCUCUUGUUUGGAACCAUGCCCCUAAGACCAACAUACAUUCAACUCCAGAUGGCAGAUCAGACAUUUCGAGAAGUUAAAGGAACAGUAACUGAUGUCCCAGUCAAAAUAGACGAUCACUUUGUCUACACAGACUUUCAAGUUAUUGACAUGGGAGAAGAUGAGUACGAUCCACCCAUCAUCCUUGGAAGACCGUUCCUCAGCACCGUUAAAGCAAUUAUCUACAUUGGAACUGGAGAAGUCCAUAUGCACUUCCCCUCAGAGAAGGUACGCCGUUAUUUUACUGACCCUAACUAUAUCGUUGAAGAAUCUAAGCAGGUAAGGAAACGACGCAACCGCAACCAGAGGAGGCAGAUCAUCAAGGACGGAUGGGCAGACUACGAAGGAGAAGUUAUAAGGUCAGAAAACGUAGAGUUUAAACAGAAUUAUCCAGAGGAGACCGAAGCACCA
Molecule: long non-coding RNA, 7675 nt
Filed under: Sorghum bicolor (sorghum)
Lineage: Eukaryota; Viridiplantae; Streptophyta; Magnoliopsida; Poales; Poaceae
Description: long non-coding RNA (SBIC_LNC014801)
Source: RNAcentral